UGAACGCUGGCUGCAUGCUUAACACAUGCAAGUCGAACGGUAACAGCAGAGCUUGCUCUGGCUGACGAGUGGCGGACGGGUGAGUAAUGCAUAGGAAUCUGCCUAGUAGUGGGGGACAACCUGGUGAAAACCAGGCUAAUACCGCAUACGACCUACGGGUGAAAGCAGGGGACCUUCGGGCCUUGCGCUAUUAGAUGAGCCUAUGUCUGAUUAGCUAGUUGGUAAGGUAAUGGCUUACCAAGGCUACGAUCAGUAGCUGGUCUGAGAGGAUGAUCAGCCACACUGGGACUGAGACACGGCCCAGACUCCUACGGGAGGCAGCAGUGGGGAAUAUUGGACAAUGGGCGAAAGCCUGAUCCAGCAAUGCAGCGUGUGUGAAGAAGGCCUGCGGGUUGUAAAGCACUUUCAAUUGGGAGGAAAAGCUAAAGCUUAAUACGCUUUAGUCUUGACGUUACCAUUAGAAGAAGCACCGGCUAACUCC
RNAcentral lists this ribosomal RNA (481 nucleotides) under uncultured bacterium. RNAcentral's name for it is "bacterial SSU rRNA". It matches the Rfam family "Bacterial small subunit ribosomal RNA", at positions 30 to 504 of the family's 1533-position model. The record is from RNAcentral.